AUACGAAAGGUGCAAGCGUUGUUCGGAUUUACUGGGCGUAAAGAGAGUGUAGGUGGUUUAUUAAGUCGGAUGUGAAAUCCCGGGGCUCAACCUCGGAACUGCAUUCGAUACUGAUAGGCUAGAGUUUGGGAGGGGUAAGCGGAAUUCCGUGUGUAGCAGUGAAAUGCGUAGAUAUACGGAGGAACACCUGAGGCGAAGGCGGCUUACUGGACCAAUUCUGACACUGAGACUCGAAAGCGUGGGUAGCAAACAGGAUUAGAAACCCUAGUAGUCC
Molecule: ribosomal RNA, 274 nt
Filed under: uncultured bacterium
Lineage: Bacteria
Description: partial 16S ribosomal RNA
Rfam family: Bacterial small subunit ribosomal RNA
Source: RNAcentral